UUUGAGCAAUAGAUAAUUAUGGAUUCCAGGCCAGCGUUGACCUGACCUGUAGCCCGGACUAGAAAUUACGGGAAUCGACACUGCCAAUGAGGCAACCAAUAUUGGGAAUGACAAAGCAGAGCAGCAGUUGACGGAAAUUCAGAGCUCUAUUGUCAGUUUUACUGAGGAAUGAUAAUAAUUUGGGGUGUGGCUUCCUGGUAAAGAGGUGUGUAACCACACUGAGGAUGACAUAAGAGAUAUUUAGAGGUGUAGCCCGGUACACAAAGAAGAUAACAACAUAUGGCAGAAAAGCAGUUAUUCCCAAUGACGGAACUUCAUCAGACUUAGAUCUCUGCCCCUCAAGUAUGAAGACUGAUGUGAUUUGUGCCCCAGCACGGCUACAGGAGGGGGUAUUCUUUAGGAGUCCUCACCUGCUGACUGCUUACACUCCCCCCAACCCAAGCUUUGCCUCCAGAAGUUACACCAGUGGUUAUACCUACAAUUGAUACAAGCUGCAUGUAUUUACAAUUGUGUCUAAAAGAAUUGUUGCGUGGUA
Long non-coding RNA from Pseudophryne corroboree (corroboree frog), 535 nucleotides. RefSeq lists it as uncharacterized. The record is from RefSeq and is a predicted model, not a curated record. Lineage: Eukaryota; Metazoa; Chordata; Amphibia; Anura; Myobatrachidae. The transcript has 3 exons.